AGUGAACGCUGGCGGUAGGCCUAACACAUGCAAGUCGAACGGCAGCACAGUAAGAGCUUGCUCUUACGGGUGGCGAGUGGCGGACGGGUGAGGAAUACAUCGGAAUCUACUUUUUCGUGGGGGAUAACGUAGGGAAACUUACGCUAAUACCGCAUACGACCUACGGGUGAAAGCAGUGGAUCUUUGGACCUUGCGCGAUUGAAUGAGCCGAUGUCGGAUUAGCUAGUUGGCGGGGUAAAGGCCCACCAAGGCGACGAUCCGUAGCUGGUCUGAGAGGAUGGUCAGCCACACUGGAGCUGAGACACGGUCCAGACUCCUACGAGAGGCAGCAGUGGGGAAUAUUGGACAAUGGGCGCAAGCCUGAUCCAGCCAUACCGCGUGGGUGAAGAAGGCCUUCGGGUUGUAAAGCCCUUUUGUUGGGAAAGAAAAGCAGCAGGUUAAUACCCCGCUGCUCUGACGGUACCCAAAGAAUAAGCACCGGCUAACUUCGUG
This 492-nucleotide ribosomal RNA is filed under the name uncultured bacterium. Its description in RNAcentral is "partial 16S ribosomal RNA". It matches the Rfam family "Bacterial small subunit ribosomal RNA", at positions 29 to 507 of the family's 1533-position model. The record is from RNAcentral.